Molecule: unclassified non-coding RNA, 193 nt
Filed under: uncultured fungus
Lineage: Eukaryota; Fungi
Description: sequence contains ITS1
Source: RNAcentral
UUAACUAUUAUAUAGUACUCAGACGAUAUUAACAAACAGAGUUUUAGGUUCUUCGACAGUCACUGACCAGCCGGAGCCGGUGGGCCGAAGCCGGGACUGCCAAAGCAACAAAGGUAUAUAAACAAUGGGUGGGAGGUAUACCCCGAAGGGCAACGUCUCUUUAAUGAUCCUUCCGCAGGUUCACCUACGGAAA